This 200-nucleotide unclassified non-coding RNA is filed under the name Inocybe sp. RNAcentral's name for it is "partial internal transcribed spacer 2". The record is from RNAcentral. Lineage: Eukaryota; Fungi; Basidiomycota; Agaricomycetes; Agaricales; Inocybaceae.
UUAAGUUCAGCGGGUAAUCCUACCUGAUUUGAGGUCAAGUUGGUCAUUGAAUGGUUCGAAAGCGGUAGCAGCACGCACCAAGGCAUUGAUAGUUAUCACACCUGUGGUAGUCUUGCCCAGACACCGCUAAUACAUUUCAGAGGAGCAGACUUCAGCAGAAGCCUGCACUUCCCUCCAUUUCCAAGCCACAUCCAGAAACA